ACUUCCACUGUGAAAUCAGUCCCGCACCAGGUGGACAGAGCUUGUCUCCCACUGCGAUCCUGCACGAGCUCUUCUGCUGGUGUCCAUAAAUAAGCCAGAUCACCUCAAAAGAGCAACUUCAUCUCCAGCUCUGGUCCAGCAUGAGAAAGCAGAAUCUGAGAGGCGAACUGAGUAUCUCAAGUGGACAUACUAUGCAGACCAGUGAAGAAGUAGUAAGCCUGGAGUCGGCCAGCAUCCAGACCACACACCGGGGCCAUGGCACUGACCCCUGCUUCCCUCAUGGACAAGCUCAGGAGCUACAUCUAUGCUGUGCAAUUCUGUGGACUCACUGCGGUUCUUUGAACUGAUGGCGGCUGCAUGCUCUGAGACACACUUGAGAGGCUUCUCAAGACCCCAGUUUGCACAGACUGUGUCUCUCCAAAUAUAACAGAUGUGAUCCACUCCAAGCAAAAAGUUCCGAAGCUCAGAGAACAAUGGGAAGAUGACAGUGAUGCGUCCGGAUUUCUUAUUUCUGUCAACACUUACUGGAUUCUUUUCUCUUCUCACGGGAAUAAAGAGAAUGCAGCAAAAGUAA
Molecule: long non-coding RNA, 574 nt
Filed under: Mus musculus (house mouse)
Lineage: Eukaryota; Metazoa; Chordata; Mammalia; Rodentia; Muridae
Description: RIKEN cDNA 4930563I02 gene (4930563I02Rik)
Source: RNAcentral